AUCGGGAAAGUUCUGGUCAUUGUCCUUUUUUAUGGAUGUGUUGAUUUUUUUUUCCUGUUUUUGUUCAUGUUAAAUAAAACUAAAUUUGCUGCUCUCUCUAGUCUUUUUGUGCCUUUUUCAAUUAUUUGAGUGCACUUGGUUUUCCUUCCAAGCUACAUGUGCUAUUCCAUUUGUUGGGUUUUAUUUGUGCCCAAAGUUAUUUCAAAGGUUGUUGUAAUUUUGUCCAAUAAUCAGAACUGAAGUUUGGGUGCAUAUGGCAG
Molecule: unclassified non-coding RNA, 260 nt
Filed under: Hevea brasiliensis (rubber tree)
Lineage: Eukaryota; Viridiplantae; Streptophyta; Magnoliopsida; Malpighiales; Euphorbiaceae
Source: RNAcentral